UAUGGGGCGCAGCAGGCGCGAAACCUCCGCAAUGGGCUAAAGCCUGACGGGGUCAGUCCGAGUGGCUCCUGCUAAAGGAGUCUUUUCGCCAGCUGUAAACAGGCUGGUGAAUAAGGGGUGGGCAAGCCUGGUGUCAGCCGCCGCGGUAAUACCAGCACCCCGAGUGGUCGGGAUGAUUAUUGGGUCUAAAGCAUCCGUAGCUGGUGAAGUAAGUCCUCCGUUAAAUCCACUUGCUCAACAAGUUGGGCUGCGGAGGAUACUGCUACACUAGGAGGCGGGAGAGGCGAGGGGUAUUCCACGGGUAGGGGUAAAAUCCUCUGAUCCGUGGAGGACCACCAGUGGCGAAGGCGUCUCGCCAGAACGCGCUCGACGGUGAGGGAUGAAAGCUGGGGGAGCAAACCGGAUUAGAUACCCGGGUAGUCCCAGCCGUAAACGAUGUAGGCUCGGUGAUGGAUUGGCUCCGAGCCAAUCCAGUGCCGCAGGGAAGCCGUUAAGCCUACCACCUGGGGAGCACCACAAGGGGUGAAGCCUGCGGUUCACAUUGGAGUCAACGCCGGGAAUCUUACCAGGGGCGACAGCAGAAUGAAGGUCAGGCUGAAGACCUUACCAGACGAGCUGAGAGGAGGUCGCAUGGCCGUCGACAGCUCGUGCCGUGAGGUGUCCUGUUAAGUCAGGUAACGAGCGAGACCUCCAUCCCUAAUUGCUACCAUUAUUCUUAGGAAUGGUGGGGGGAAUUAGGGAGACUGCCGUUGUUAAAACGGAGGAAGGCGGGGGCCACGGCAGGUCAGUAUGCCCCGAAACCCUUGGGCCACACGCGGGCUGCAAUGGUAGGGACAAUGGGUUCCAAGCUCGGAAGAGUGAGGUAAUCCCUAAACCCUACUCCAGUUAUGAUUGAGGGCUGGAACUCGCCCUCAUGAAUCUGGAAUCCCUAGUAAUCGCGUGUCAACAUCGUCGCGGUGAAUACGUCCCUGCUCCUUGCACACACCGCCCGUCGCUUCAUCCGAGUCGGGUCUGUCGCGAGAUGAUACCGAGUUGGUAUCAUCGAACGUGG
RNAcentral lists this ribosomal RNA (1051 nucleotides) under uncultured archaeon. RNAcentral describes it as "bacterial SSU rRNA". It matches the Rfam family "Archaeal small subunit ribosomal RNA", at positions 324 to 1412 of the family's 1478-position model. The record is from RNAcentral.